UUGAGCCUAGUUAGUCCAUGAUUGGGCAAUAUUUAUCAAAUACAAACGAAAAUGCUAUAGUAUCGAUUUCCUAAAUUUUUUUGGAACUAAACAAGGCCUAAAUAACAACCCAAACCUGACAAUCUGCAAAUACGUUAAGUAACAGACCAAAUCAACAAUAUACAACUAGCGAAUUAAAUCAGUAACCAAUAGUUAGGUAAAGCAAUUAAGUCAUGCAACAAACUAACAACCCAUAAGUUCAUCAUGCAACUACUACUCAUCCAAUCUCCAUAAGCAAUUGCUUACGGGCCAGUCACGGGGUGUCGGGGACGGUAAACUCUUUCUAACCAUCUUAAGGAAAAGCAUGUUUAUGCACAGUUGUGAAAAAAUAGCAAACCCUAAUAUAUGUGGAAAAUCUUAAUCUUGAUCUAAUGAGAUUCUUAUAAAAAUCUCCUAACAUCCCAAC
Molecule: long non-coding RNA, 445 nt
Filed under: Sorghum bicolor (sorghum)
Lineage: Eukaryota; Viridiplantae; Streptophyta; Magnoliopsida; Poales; Poaceae
Description: long non-coding RNA (SBIC_LNC007320)
Source: RNAcentral